CUCUUGCCGGAAAAGGAGACGGUGGUGCAUAUGCCUCCCACACUUCAGGAAAUGUCCGUCUAAAAUCAGAUGAUUUGCUGACAUCUCUACUGCUGCACCUCUCUCCAUGUCUGAAGCCAGUUCGACAACACUGCAGUAGCAUCUCUGUCAGAGAGCCAAUCAAGUGUGGCACCUCUACAGUGACAAGCACAGAAUGAAAAACACUGUAGACCAUGACACAUAGAGUUAGAUGCCACACGUCAACAGGUUGUCUUAUCACUGCGCUGCGCACCGUGAGCACUUGAGUGAAAUGGGCAGAGAGCCUUUCUACUGUGAGAUGAGCGAAGGAGACGGUGUUGCUUCUGAUCUGGUUGGUUGGCUGAAUACUGAGGUGUCGCUGCCACAGCGGAAGCUAGUGGGUCAACAUGCCGGCCCAAUUUUACAGUUGAGGUGCGCUCGUCACCAUGGAUGCUGGUGGCCACCGCUUUGCUCCAAAUAGAGCGUCACUUGAGUGGCACUCGAAGCCACAGAAUGUGGCGGAAUGUGGGCACUAGAGUACAUUUUUUUUCCCUCUAGUUUCAGUCCCUAUCUUUUGUUGUUAUCACCAAAGCAUUUCUUCAGCCAUCACUGCAACAUGACUUGAAACAGGAAUUGUAUUGUAAUGUCUGACUGUGACAAGGUUUUAGAUUAAAAAAAGGGUUUGCAGAAAUAAGUAAUAUCCAGACCCAAAGUGUUGUAAUCUAGUGACAAAGGUUGCCCGAAAAUAUGUAAAUACAAAUCAUUUUGUGGUUGAAUUAGAAAAUUCCAAAUAUAAUAAUAAUAAUAAUAUUGUUGGCAAGUAUUGUUUUAUCUCCUUUCAUUACUUAUCAGGGACAUAGUACACACAUCCUUAUUUCUAAUGGCAUGCCCCUUUACUGCAGCUGGAUUUAUGGGGUUGACAGAUGUGACUCAAGAUGUAAUAAUAAUCUGAAACAUGUCAAUAUGAAUUUUAAAUGCAAUUUAGUCGAUUCAUAAUGAAUUACAUCAGCUUAAUGUCAGACCGUUGACCUACUUCACUGGAUGUUAUUUUGAAUUGCAAAUGUCGUUCAUGCUCCAGCCUGCAAAAAUUAUGAAUGCAUAAAUGAUUUAAUACUGGCACACCGGCACACUUCAACAGAUUGAAUUUGUAUCUGGUCAAAUCAAAAUAAAAUGUAUUUUUACAAACAGAAAAUAAUCAUCACUAUUAAUUUUACGGGCUUUUAGCCCAUGGCAAGAUGAUAGAUU
Molecule: long non-coding RNA, 1242 nt
Organism: Eleginops maclovinus (Patagonian blennie)
Lineage: Eukaryota; Metazoa; Chordata; Actinopteri; Perciformes; Eleginopidae
Exons: 3
Source: RefSeq, a predicted model, not a curated record